AGCUCCCGUCUCCUCUGUGCUG
This 22-nucleotide microRNA is filed under the name Bos taurus (domestic cattle). Its description in RNAcentral is "Bta-Mir-2388_5p (mature (co-guide))". The record is from RNAcentral. Lineage: Eukaryota; Metazoa; Chordata; Mammalia; Artiodactyla; Bovidae.